Molecule: ribosomal RNA, 327 nt
Filed under: uncultured eukaryote
Lineage: Eukaryota
Description: partial 18S ribosomal RNA
Rfam family: Eukaryotic small subunit ribosomal RNA
Source: RNAcentral
CCCUUAGAUGUUCUGGGCCGCACGCGUGCUACACUGAUGCAUUCAACGAGUCUAAAACCUGGUCUGAUAGGGCUGGGUAAUCUUUUGAAAGUGCAUCGUGAUCGGGAUAGAUGAUUGCAAUUCUUCAUCUUCAACGAGGAAUGCCUAGUAAACGCAAGUCAUCAGCUUGCAUUGAUUACGUCCCUGCCCUUUGUACACACCGCCCGUCGCUCCUACCGAUUGAAUGAUCCGGUGAAUAAUUCGGACUGCAGCAGUGCUUGGUCCUCCGGGCUUUGCAGUGGAAAGUUUAGUGAACCUUAUCACUUAGAGGAAGGAGAAGUCGUAACA